RNAcentral lists this ribosomal RNA (790 nucleotides) under uncultured bacterium. RNAcentral's name for it is "bacterial SSU rRNA". It matches the Rfam family "Bacterial small subunit ribosomal RNA", at positions 80 to 886 of the family's 1533-position model. The record is from RNAcentral.
UUGCUCCACGGAUUAGUGGCGAACGGGUGAGGAACACGUGAGAAACCUGCCUCGGAUUUUGGGAUAACAAAUGGAAACGUUUGCUAAUACCAAAUAACGUCGGAGAGUCACAUGACUUUCUGACGAAAGGAAUUCCGAUUCGAGAGGGUCUCGCGGCCUAUCAGCUUGUUGGCGGGGUAAUGGCCCACCAAGGCAACGACGGGUAGCUGGUCUGAGAGGAUGGUCAGCCACACUGGGACUGAGACACGGCCCAGACUCCUACGGGAGGCAGCAGUGGGGAAUCUUGCGCAAUGGGCGAAAGCCUGACGCAGCAACGCCGCGUGCGGGAAGAAGGCUUUCGGGCUGUAAACCGCUUUCAGCAGGAACGAAAAUGACGGUACCUGCAGAAGAAGGAGCGGCCAACUAUGUGCCAGCAGCCGCGGUGAUACAUAGGCUUCAAGCGUUGUCCGGAUUUAUUGGGCGUAAAGAGUUCGUAGGCGGUCGAGUAAGUCGGGUGUGAAAAUUCUGGGCUCAACCCAGAGACGCCACCCGAUACUGCUUAACUUGAGUUCGAUAGGGGAGUGGGGAAUUCCUAGUGUAGCGGUGAAAUGCGCAGAUAUUAGGAGGAACACCGGUGGCGAAGGCGCCACUCUGGAUCGACACUGACGCUGAGGAACGAAAGCAUGGGUAGCAAACAGGAUUAGAUACCCUGGUAGUCCAUGCGGUAAACGGUGGGCACUAGGUGUGGGUUUCUAUUAACGAAAUCCGCGCCGUCGCUAACGCAUUAAGUGCCCCGCCUGGGGAGUACGGU